This 440-nucleotide ribosomal RNA is filed under the name uncultured bacterium. RNAcentral describes it as "bacterial SSU rRNA". It matches the Rfam family "Bacterial small subunit ribosomal RNA", at positions 338 to 772 of the family's 1533-position model. The record is from RNAcentral.
CCUACGGGUGGCUGCAGUAACGAAUAUUGGGCAAUGGGCGCAAGCCUGACCCAGCAAUGCCGCGUGUGGGAGGAAGUCCCUCGGGAUGUAAACCACUUUUAGGGGUGGACAAGCAAUGCGGGUGAACAAUCCGCAAAGUUGAGUUGCCCCAGAAAAAGCCUCGGCUAACUCUGUGCCAGCAGCCGCGGUAAGACAGAGGAGGCAAGCGUUGUUCGGAAUCAUUGGGCUUAAAGGGCGUGCAGGCGGCGGCGCAAGUGUCGAGUGAAAUCCCAUCGCUCAACGAUGGAACGGCUCGGCAAACUGCGUCGCUUGAGGUCGGUAGAGGUGCUCGGAACUCUAGGUGGAGCGGUGAAAUGCGUAGAUAUCUAGAGGAACGCCUGAGGCGAAAGCGGGGCACUGGGCCGAUUCUGACGCUGAGACGCGAAAGCGUGGGGAGCAAA